UCAAAAUGAAAUCCGACCCUCUGUUUGGUUACCAAGGAAAUGAAGAAAAAUAAAAGAAAAUCACAUUUUGCUGCCAAAUUUUUUACCGAUAGUCGGUUUUGAAGGUUGAAUCUACCCAACGUGUAGAUAUGAGGCCCCUUGCCUUCGCAGUGCCUGCCCUAAAACCAAUUGUUACGUAGCCAUUGGGUAGAGUUAAAAACCGGCUAUCAACGGGAGGGUGCCCAAGUGCUUAUAAGCCCAACUACUAAACUUCAAUUUGGCAACGUGGGACUCAACUGGGUCGUUACAGUAAGCCAAAGAGACAUACGAGUUUUAAGUAAAGUAGAAUUUCCUGUAUUCUUGAGCCUAGAUGGUGAAAAUUAUAUGAUUCAAAUUUUCUUUCAUUUUCUCAUUAUUUUCUCAGCACCCAAAUGAUUAUACCUAACCUGGAUAUAAUUUGAUUGAAUUUGGAAUAGAGAUUGCUGUAGUACCUUGAACUGAGAGAUGAAUCUAAAUGCAGCGUUUGGAGACUGAAUGAUCGAAUGCUUUUGUGUGGAUGGCAAUCGGCCCUCUUAUCCUGCAG
Molecule: long non-coding RNA, 562 nt
Filed under: Vitis vinifera (wine grape)
Lineage: Eukaryota; Viridiplantae; Streptophyta; Magnoliopsida; Vitales; Vitaceae
Description: long non-coding RNA (VVIN_LNC002330)
Source: RNAcentral